Mus musculus (house mouse) is the source of this 715-nucleotide long non-coding RNA. RefSeq annotates it as predicted gene, 36618. NCBI's taxonomy places the organism in Eukaryota, Metazoa, Chordata, Mammalia, Rodentia, Muridae. The record is from RefSeq and is a predicted model, not a curated record. The transcript has 3 exons.
AACCCAGGACUACCAGCCCAGGGAUAGCACCACCCACCAAUGGGCCCUCCCACCCUUGAUCACUGACUGAGAAAAUGCCUUACAUCUGGAUCUCAUGGAAGCAUUUCCUCAAGGAAGAUUCCGUUCUCGGUGAUAACUCCAGCUUGAGUCAAGUUGACACACAAAACCAGCCAGCACAGACUCUUAUCACGUCCUUUCUCUUCUAAUAAACCAAGAGUAAGACCUGUUUCUCUAAAGUUGCUCCCACUCCCGCUGCUGUUACUUAAAAUAGUUUUCCGUGAGACUUCUCUGGAAACACAUACCUUGUUUGUGACAAUUUCAGAGUGACUCCUUUUAACUCAUCCUUGGUGAAGGAUCAGAGGAAACUUUCCAAACUCCCAUAUGCCAUGCUCAAACUCUGCUCCCGAGCUACCCUGGUCAAGUUCGUGAACUAUUACCAGCAUCAGCUAGAUAACAUAAGGCUGCAUUCAUCACAAUGGCAUAUAACUGUUGGCUAUAUAGGAACUAGUUUCAUCUUUUGAAGUCGGUCUACUAAGAAUAUUUGCUUUUUACCAUCACUUUCUUGGAAAGUUCCUCAAGGAUCUGUUCCAGCCAAACAAGAGAGUAAAGCAGAGAACAAGGUCAGCAAAUAGAAGGGGGGGGAACAGUCUUGGGAUUCUAGAAGACUUGGCAUGCACCCAAUCUGUCUGGUAAAAGAUCUGAAGAGGUAGUGAGA